This is a small nucleolar RNA of Pteronotus mesoamericanus, 130 nucleotides long. RefSeq annotates it as small nucleolar RNA SNORA4. The record is from RefSeq and is a predicted model, not a curated record. The transcript has a single exon. Lineage: Eukaryota; Metazoa; Chordata; Mammalia; Chiroptera; Mormoopidae.
CAAUCGAAAGUUUUUUUUAGGGGGAGGUUUUUUAAUAACCUUGGGCUAUCUGGGAGAAUAAAGAAGACCACACUCCACAGUGGGCUAUAUCCCUAAACAUAUAACUCACUACUGUUUUGUGGCCUAUAUU